AAAAAAAGAAAAAAAGAGUCUUCUCAGGGAAGCACAUGGACAAACAGGAAAUGCAUGGAAAGGAACUGAUGAAGUAGUGAAGCACUAAGAAAUGUAUAGAUGUGGCACUUAGCAGCAUAGCUUAGUGGCAUGGUAGUGAUGGUUUGACAGUUGGACUACAUGAUCUUAGAGGUCUUUUGCAACCUUAAUGAUUCUAUGAUUCUAAGAAAAGAAUCUGGCACAGUGUGAGACAGGAGGGUAACACAGAAUAACUCUAACACUUUCAGACCAGAGCAAGUUGAAAUCCAUGUGUCCACUGCUUCCAGCUGUGCGCCAGUCUUUGUGCUGAUGAACCACAGAAGGCCUCCCUCAGCAGUAUCUUCAAGCAAAAUACCUGCAGUCACUGAUGGAAGGGCCUUUCUGUUCUGCACCGGUUGUGAACAAGCAGCAGGACAGCAUCUCCAACCACCCGGGCUGAGGCCACUGAUUCACAUGAAAUAUCUUGGUACUUUUCUUACCCAUGGGCGGAAUGAGCAGCCACCAGAGAACAACUACUGCCUCUUUCCUGAAGAUUGAAGUAUCCCAAAUCUGCUUUAUCAAGACAGGCUCUGUACCCUCUUCAUUGGGUGGCACUCCUCCUGGUGGGAAUGGCAUUGCAAUCUGUGAGCUGGACACAAGGGCCUGAUCAAAAUUUCAGUCCCUGCGUGUGAUAUAUGGCGAUGGGAAAUCAUUUGCAGAAGAGAUCCUCGUGUGGGAGUAGACCAAGAAAAAUCAUCCCUCACUCACUCUGCAGUAGAGAUGUGGCCAAAACAUAGCAUCAUACCAGCCACUAUGAAGGAGAAAACAACUCUGUCCCAGCUGAAACCAGGACAAUAUGAAGACUCUGCACUGACCUUGACACCCAGCUUCCCUGAGAAACAGGAACAGCCAACUGCUGGUGUGAAGAAAUCUGAUGACCAACGUGGAUAGUGAUAACAAAAAAAAUCUUCCUAAAAGCCUACAACUUCAAAAAUAAUGUUUUUUUCUUCCCCCCUUACUCCUGAAAAUCAAACUUUGCUUUACAUAAUUAACCCCUACAUUUGGCAGCUGAAACUUUUUUUUUUUUUCCCAUAUGAUCAGACCUAAGACAAACCCUUGAAAUAUUUUGCUGUUGAAAACUUGGAUGAAAAUAUCUUGGUCUGUGUGUGGAAUUCAUCUGCAAUGGGAUCCGGAUGGCCAUAACCUCAACCUGAAAUGUGACAUUAUGGAGCCACAAAGCUUCAAAACCUUGAGAUGAGUCUGUACUAGAAGAGAAAA
Molecule: long non-coding RNA, 1275 nt
Organism: Gallus gallus (chicken)
Lineage: Eukaryota; Metazoa; Chordata; Aves; Galliformes; Phasianidae
Source: Ensembl